GAUGAACGCUGGCGGCGUGCUUAACACAUGCAAGUCGAACGAAGCACCUUAGACAGAAGCCUUCGGGCGGAAGACUUUGGUGACUUAGUGGCGGACGGGUGAGUAACGCGUGGGUAACCUGCCCUGUACCGGGGGACAACAGUUGGAAGCGACUGCUAAUACCGCAUAAGCGCACAGCAUCGCAUGAUGCAGUGUGAAAAACUCCGGUGGUACAGGAUGGACCCGCGUCUGAUUAGCUAGUUGGUGAGGUAACGGCUUACCAAGGCAACGAUCAGUAGCCGACUUGAGAGAGUGAUCGGCCACAUUGGGACUGAGACACGGCCCAGACUCCUACGGGAGGCAGCAGUGGGGAAUAUUGCACAAUGGGGGAAACCCUGAUGCAGCGACGCCGCGUGAAGGAAGAAGUAUUUCGGUAUGUAAACUUCUAUCAGCAAGGAAGAAAAUGACGGUACUUGACUAAGAAGCCCCGGCUAAAUACGUGCCAGCCGCCGCAGUAA
RNAcentral lists this ribosomal RNA (497 nucleotides) under uncultured bacterium. RNAcentral's name for it is "partial 16S ribosomal RNA". It matches the Rfam family "Bacterial small subunit ribosomal RNA", at positions 28 to 523 of the family's 1533-position model. The record is from RNAcentral.